This 225-nucleotide signal recognition particle RNA is filed under the name chicken gut metagenome. RNAcentral's name for it is "Bacterial large signal recognition particle RNA". It matches the Rfam family "Bacterial large signal recognition particle RNA", at positions 3 to 221 of the family's 256-position model. From Rfam's summary of the family: The signal recognition particle (SRP) is a universally conserved ribonucleoprotein involved in the co-translational targeting of proteins to membranes. The record is from RNAcentral.
GCACUAGGCGGGGAGCUAGCGGUGCCCUGAACUUGCAAUCCGCUAUAGCAAGGCUGAACCAGUUGUUUGAGGGAGUUUCUGCUUUGUGGAACGAACUUUUAGCUUGGCGUUGAAGUUAAGGUCUUAAACAUUGUUUUGCUGUGAACCAUGUCAGGCCCUGACGGGAGCAUCAUUAAGCAGAUUAAAACAAGUGAUUUAAGGAAGCUUUAAUGGAGCCAACGUUAA